This 539-nucleotide long non-coding RNA is filed under the name Homo sapiens (human). RNAcentral's name for it is "HSALNT0385158". The record is from RNAcentral. Lineage: Eukaryota; Metazoa; Chordata; Mammalia; Primates; Hominidae.
CCCUAAUGAAUUAAUGGACUUCGCCAGCAUGACUGGCUUCCAACAUCACAAAGAGCCUGGCAACCAGACAUUCUAUUCUGUAUGUCCCCAGGGCCAUCUUGCCCUAGUAGUCAAACCUCAAUCUGAUCAGGCCUCUAGAUCUAAUUAACAAUGUACUAGAAAUACAGGGGAGCAAGGAGCAGACUAAACAAUACCAUAGAGAUGCAGCCAGUAAAAUUCAGGUCCACCUGGUUUCUUCAACAGGUUUACAGACAGCUACUGUGUGCGAGACGCUCUGCUAAGCACAGAGAAGAAAAUGCAGACCAUGGCUGUGUCUGGAAGCAUGGGAACCCGCCUUCAAAUCCCGCCUGACACUUCCAGCUGUGUGGCCCUGGAGAAUCACCUCCCACCUCUCUUUCCUGAGCCUUGGUUUCCUGAGCCUCGGUUUCCCUUGACCACAUUACCUCACAGGGUGGCCAGGGGAGGGACAUAUGCGAUUCUAUUUGAUGUCUGAAUCUGAAGUCUCAGAGGCAGAACAAUGUCCCCAAAACCCAGUGGGC